RNAcentral lists this ribosomal RNA (446 nucleotides) under uncultured bacterium. RNAcentral's name for it is "partial 16S ribosomal RNA". It matches the Rfam family "Bacterial small subunit ribosomal RNA", at positions 338 to 795 of the family's 1533-position model. The record is from RNAcentral.
CCUACGGGGGGCAGCAGUCGAGAAUCAUUCACAAUGGGGGAAACCCUGAUGGUGCGACGCCGCGUGGGGGAAUGAAGGUCUUCGGAUUGUAAACCCCUGUCAUGUGGGAGCAAAUGAAAAAGAUAGUACCACAAGAGGAAGAGACGGCUAACUCUGUGCCAGCAGCCGCGGUAAUACAGAGGUCUCAAGCGUUGUUCGGAAUCACUGGGGGUAAAGCGUGCGUAGGCGGUGUCGUAAGUCGGGUGUGAAAGGCGCGGGCUCAACCCGCGGACGGCACAUGAUACUGCGAGACUAGAGUAAGGGAGGGGGAAGCGGAAUUCGCGGUGUAGCAGUGAAAUGCGUAGAUAUCGAGAGGAACACUCGUGGCGAAGGCGGGUUCCUGGACAGUAACUGACGCUGAGGCACGAAGGCCAGGGGAGCGAAAGGGAUUAGAUACCCCUGUAGUC